AGCGGUAACAGGGGAAGCUUGCUUCCCGCUGACGAGCGGCGGACGGGUGAGUAAUGCUUAGGAAUCUGCCCAGUAGUGGGGGAUAGCCCGGGGAAACCCGGAUUAAUACCGCAUACGUCCUACGGGAGAAAGCAGGGGAUCUUCGGACCUUGCGCUAUUGGAUGAGCCUAAGUCGGAUUAGCUAGUUGGUGGGGUAAAGGCCUACCAAGGCGACGAUCCGUAGCUGGUCUGAGAGGGAUGAUCAGCCACAUCGGGACUGAGACACGGCCCGAACUCCUACGGGAGGCAGCAGUGGGGAAUAUUGGACAAUGGGGGCAACCCUGAUCCAGCCAUGCCGCGUGUGUGAAGAAGGCUUUCGGGUUGUAAAGCACUUUCAGUAGGGAGGAAAACCUUAUGGUUAAUACCCAUGAGGCUUGACGUUACCUACAGAAGAAGCACCGGCUAACUCCGUGCCAGCAGCCGCGGUAAUACGGAGGGUGCAAGCGUUAAUCAGAAUUACUGGGCGUAAAGCGCGCGUAGGUGGUUUGGUAAGCGAGAUGUGAAAGCCCCGGGCUUAACCUGGGAACGGCAUUUCGAACUGUCAGACUAGAGUGUGGUAGAG
This 601-nucleotide ribosomal RNA is filed under the name uncultured Marinobacter sp. RNAcentral's name for it is "bacterial SSU rRNA". It matches the Rfam family "Bacterial small subunit ribosomal RNA", at positions 65 to 656 of the family's 1533-position model. Lineage: Bacteria; Pseudomonadati; Pseudomonadota; Gammaproteobacteria; Pseudomonadales; Marinobacteraceae. The record is from RNAcentral.